UGGGGAAUCAUGGUCAAUGGGCGAAAGCCUGAACCUGCGACGCCGCGUGAGUGAUGAAGGUCGUAAGAUCGUAAAACUCUUUUCAGGGAUCUUAAAGCACAACCGUCAACAACGGCUGUGUGUGACUCUCCCUGGAAGAAGCCCCAGCCAACUACGUGCCAGCAGCUGCGGUAAUACGUAGGGGGCGAGCGUUAUUCGGAAUUACUGGGUGUAAAGGGUAUGUAGGCGGCCCUUCAAGUCGCGUGUCAAAGUCCAGUGCUCAACGCUGGGUGUGCACGCGAUACUGACGGGCUUGAGGGCUGGAGAGGUGAGCGGAAUUCCCGGUGUAGUGGUAAAAUGCUUAGAUAUCUGGAAGAACACCGGUAGCGAAGGCUGUUGCCUGGCCUGGUAUUGACGCUCAGGGACGAAAGCGUGGGGAUCGAACA
RNAcentral lists this ribosomal RNA (425 nucleotides) under uncultured prokaryote. Its description in RNAcentral is "bacterial SSU rRNA". It matches the Rfam family "Bacterial small subunit ribosomal RNA", at positions 355 to 774 of the family's 1533-position model. The record is from RNAcentral.